Molecule: ribosomal RNA, 409 nt
Filed under: Mandarina conus
Lineage: Eukaryota; Metazoa; Mollusca; Gastropoda; Stylommatophora; Camaenidae
Description: partial 16S ribosomal RNA
Source: RNAcentral
AGUUUUGAGCUAAAUAUAUUAUAAUAUUAGUUUAUUUAUGAAGGUGUUGUAAAACCUUAUUAAAAAUUAUAUUUAGGGGUGAUAGGCCUUUCAAAAACUAAGAUAUCUUGAAUCUAAUUAAAAGUAUGUAGUACAUUCAACACAACUAUUAAGUGAUUAGGCUUUAUAGAACUAUUAACUUAUAAGGAUUUUUAUUUAUUAUAAUUUAAUAAUUAAGUAUAUAAAUAGAAUAAUAUACAUAUAUUAUAGUUUAUAAGGAGUAAUUAGAUAAAUUAAAGUUCAUAAAUUUUGUAAUAAUGUUAAUAUUAGUAUUAAGUUUAUAUUUAUAUGAUGAACUCGGCAAAAAUGUUUCUCAACUGUUUAUCAAAAACAUAACUAUGUGUAUAAAUACAUAGCGGUUUCUGCUCAA